CAGUAGCCGCGGGAAUACGUAGGGUGCAAGCGUUGAUCGGAAUUACUGGGCGUAAAGCGUGCGCAGGCGGUUUGUUAAGACAGAUGUGGAAUCCCCGGGCUCGACCUGGGAACUGCAUUUGUGACUGGCAAGCUAGAGUAUGGCAGAGGGGGGUGGAAUUCCGCGUGUAGCAGUGAAAUGCGUAGAUAUGCGGAGGAACACCGAUGGCGAAGGCAGCCCCCUGGGCCAAUACUGACGCUCAUGCACGAAAGCGUGGGGAGCAAACAGGAUUAGAUACCCCGGUAGUCCCUGUCUCUUAUAC
Molecule: ribosomal RNA, 301 nt
Filed under: uncultured bacterium
Lineage: Bacteria
Description: partial 16S ribosomal RNA
Rfam family: Bacterial small subunit ribosomal RNA
Source: RNAcentral